GCCCUAGUAGCUUAAAUAACUAAAGCGCUGGCCUUGUAAACCAGAUAUGGGCCCAGCCCCUAGGACA
Molecule: transfer RNA, 67 nt
Filed under: Homonota fasciata (South American marked gecko)
Lineage: Eukaryota; Metazoa; Chordata; Lepidosauria; Squamata; Phyllodactylidae
Description: tRNA-Thr
Rfam family: tRNA
About the family: Transfer RNA (tRNA) molecules are approximately 80 nucleotides in length. Their secondary structure includes four short double-helical elements and three loops (D, anti-codon, and T loops).
Source: RNAcentral